RNAcentral lists this ribosomal RNA (774 nucleotides) under uncultured Neocallimastigales. RNAcentral describes it as "partial large subunit ribosomal RNA". It matches the Rfam family "Eukaryotic large subunit ribosomal RNA", at positions 18 to 617 of the family's 3401-position model. Lineage: Eukaryota; Fungi; Neocallimastigomycota; Neocallimastigomycetes; Neocallimastigales. The record is from RNAcentral.
UCAGACGAUGCGUCAUGCAUAUCAAUAAGCGGAGGAAAAGAAACUAACAAGGAUUCCCCUAGUAACGGCGAGUGAAGCGGGAAGAGCUCAAAUUUGAAAUCUUAAAGGGUUUCCCUUUACGAAUUGUAGUUUAAAGAAGUGUUUUCUGUUGAGGUUUUGGUAAAAGUUCUUUGGAAUAGGACAUCAUAGAGGGUGAGAAUCCCGUAUUUGACCUUUACUUUCAACUUUGUGAUACACUUUCAAAGAGUCGGAUUGUUUGGGAAUGCAGUCCAAAAUGGGUGGUAAAUUUCCAUCUAAAGCUAAAUAUUGGCGAGAGACCGAUAGCGAACAAGUACCGUGAGGGAAAGAUGAAAAGAACUUUGAAAAGAGAGUUAAAUAGUACGUGAAAUUGUCAAAAGGGAAGCGUUUGACACCAGUGUUGUUUUUCUGAAAAUCAAUUAAAGAACUGUUUAUGCUAAGUUGUUUAGACUUUAUCAGCUAACUGUUUAGUUUUGAGCUUUUCUUUAAUGCACUUUUCAGUUAACAAGUCAACAUCAAUUUCUUUUGCUGUAAAAAAGCUUGAGGAAGGUGGCUUGAGAUUCGUCUUAAGUGUUUAUAGCCUCUUGCCUAUGCAGUCGGAGAGAUUGAGGUCUGCAGCGUAGAUCCUUCGGGGCUAAAUGCAUUUGUGCUAAGUUAUAGCAUUUUAUAGACAACUUGUUGACUAUGAUUUGUCUUGUAGCUUACUCGCUUAUGUUAUUUUACCUACGCUUAGGAUGUUGAGCGCAUGUCUCUCUC